GUGUGAUUUGCAAAUUUUUGAUUUUUUCGUUUGGAUACUGAUUUCGCUCAAGAAAAGCUAUAUUCCGCUCAAGAAAAGGUAUAAAUAGUAUUGGAUAAGUGACUCUAAGUCUUGCUAAAGGCUUAUUGAUCUCAGGUAUGUAUUAUUACUCUUUAUAUCAUAUAAUUAUAACGUCCAUCGACCCUAUUAUUUCAUUUUAUCUUUUUGCUGUACUAGCCUGAACAUGUGGCUGCUAAAAUUUGAAUUUGCGCGCGCGAGAUUUUAUAUAUUGAAAUUAUUUCAUUUCAAUGCCUCCAAAUAUUAGUUAAAACCAACAAUUCAAAUUUUGAAUAUGCACAUUUAUAUAUAGUGUAUUAUUUGAAACAAUAUGUGAAAUGUGAUCAUGAAUGUAAAUAUGGGUUUGCUUCAAAAUGGCUUGCAAGCCUAUUCAUACCAAAACAUGAGAAUUAUUUGAGAGUAUUAAUUAAAUUAUGUUCUUUUAAUCACAUCUCCCCUGGAAUGCCUGGAUUUCCAAGGUAAAAUCACCUAGGCAUUAAUUCUGCCUAGGGUUACUGGCCGGGUUAGACAGAGUAAAAUUAAUGGUGUUUUCACUACAAUUAAACCUUGACCUAGCCUUGGACAGGCCAAGGUAAGUGUGGCAUGUUUACACCAUUACACUAUUUUUUUUGAGACAGGCCCGCUUUGGCCAAGAAUUUUGUUAUUAAUUUUGUGUAUUUUUAUGUGUUGUGAUGUUGUCCGCUGGUUGUCUGCUAAUCUCUCACUGUGGACACACAUUGCCAUAAAAAUAAGGCCCCCGGCCAGGGCCGAAAGUGUUUACAUUUACACAAGCUUAGGGACCGGUCAUUGUAUAUGGCAGGGGUGGGGGCCGAAGAGAAAAUGGUGGGGUAACUGAAAAAUAAUAGUUGCUUUAGGUGGGGUGGCCAAAAAAUCCUUGCAUGCAGAGGUGGGGUAAAAAAAAUUGCCUUACUUUAAUCACACACAGUACAAUAUAUACUACAAUCAGAGUUUAAUAUGUGAUUAUUCUAAUUUUUUAAUAAAAUAUUAUUGCUUUCCAAAACGUUGACAGAAACACCCCCCUCAACCCACCCAAAUUCAUUUACACACAAAAUCUCCAAAUGACUCCAAUUACCAGACAAAAUAUAUACUGCCGAUAUAUAGGGGCUGUUUAUAUGGUGCAACUGCAAGCCAACCCCAGGGUACCCAAGGUGGCCCAGUUUUGGUGAGAUCCUGCCUUUGUUGUUAUUUCUUACUAAAGUUCACUUUGUGUAUAUAUGGGUAAAGAGCGGGCCCAGCUAUAGCUAAGCGAGAUCCCGCCCCUUUAGCCCGAGAUCUUGCUUCAGGAAAAGUGACCUUAAGUCUGUAGCCCCUAACCUCGGGAAUCCAGCCUCGCCCCCAUAUAAACAUCCUCUUAUUACAUAUCUCAAAAUGUAUAUGUACAGUCUAUUAACUUUUCAGGAUUUAAUUUUUGGGCAUCUACACUUGAUACUGCAUAAGUAAUAUUUAUAUCCAGUAUGUGCUUGUAAAUCAUGUGGACAAUUAGGUAGCAAAUCAUGAAAUAUGCCCCAUAUGCCUCUUGUGAAUCUGGAGAAUCAUUCCAAUGGCUAGUUCACAAUAUGUUCAACUCUAGUCUUUGGCAACUACCUGUUUUUCUUUACUAGAGAUCAUGUAUACAUGGAUAAAAUAAGAGAAAUCUAUUUACCCGUUUUACAGAUUAAUUUAAUUGUUUAUAUAGUCAUACUUGGAAUUCGGAUGAAUAUCUUUAUCUUCACACUGUAUAACAGCAACUUUUCAUAUUAAUUUACAGUAACUUUCUAAAUUCAGAUAUUCUCACAUGGGACAAAUACUUUUAAUUAGUAUCGUUGUAUUGUUUAUGAAUUAAAAUAUUAAAUUGAUUUCAAAAACUUCAAGAAUUCCUUGGGAAUUCUUAAGGAAUUCCUUUAAAAUUCCGUGAUAAUACAUGUGAUUGUCUAUAGUAAGGAAAUAUUAAAGGAAUUUCAGAGGAAAUUUUAGAAUUUAGAUAGUUGCAAUCAUGGGUGAGCACAUAUUUUGUGAAACUGUUUCACAAUAAAAUUGCAUUUUAAUUAAUAAAGGCCCCCACCCCUGCCAUAAAUAAUGACCGGUCCCUUAGGCCAGGUCUGUUGUAGUGAGCCCAAAUUUCCUGGCCUAGGUCGGGACUAGGGUGAUGCGGUUAUUCGGUUAGCCGAGACGGUUAUUUUUACAGAUCGGUUUCACGAGUCUUCUAAAUAUCAGAUAACCAACUAACCGAAAAACCAAUUCAAAAUAUAAAAUUCAAAAUAAAAAGACAAACAAGCGGGCUACAUGUGAUCAACAUAAAACUAUAAGCAAGCUACGUUAUACUCUUUGGUGAUUACGCAAUUUAAAUCGAUGCUAGAAGCCUAGAAAAGCGCUACGACUCAAAUGGCGGAUCAAAACAAGCUUAAAGCUUCCGAUUUGAUGAGCUAAGAGAAAGGCGGACGUCUGCGAAGACGUCACAUGGAUAACACACAAGACAUGUUGUUUAUUUUUGUCAAAAUAAGUUCAUUGAUUAAAAGAGUUGGUUAUCUCGGUUAUUUUGGGACGAUUCUCGGUUUCGGUUAUUUUACGAAACCGGAUCACCCUAGUCAGGACAAGGCUAGGCCAUUUCCCCAAGCCUAGGCUUAGGCCAAGUCGGUUGUAGACUUGUAGUGAGCCCAGAUUUCCUAGCCUAGGUCAGGACAAGGCUAGGCCAAAGUCUGUUUACACUGUCAAAAUGUUGGCCAAGGCUAGGCCAAGGCUGGUAGUGUAAACAAGACUAUUGAAUGCAUCAAGGCACAUUACGACUAAAUGGUUAGUGUUUCCCACAAUAUGGUAAAAAAGUAUAAACUUUUGCUAGCUUGAGCUUGAAGGAUCUUCCAAGCUAAACCCUUCUAGAGUAUACCCUGUAUGUAUGUGCCUUUUUAUAUGAUAAUGGCACGAAUGGACAGUAGGUUAUAAUCCAGGAUGGCGUGUUUAAUAUAGACACGAUACACCCCACCUGGCAGGGAUGAUAGAGUGCUUAUAUUCAUGAGAGUUUCUUGUCCUGGCAGGUGGGAUCCUGUCUAGGCCAGAUAGAAGUAGAAUAAUUCACUAAACAGUUGAUAGAGUUCAUAUUGCAAGCUGGGUCAUGUCGGUGGGAUCAUAAUAAUUACAAAGUGGCUACAUUAUGAUGCUUAUGAUGUUACUCCGAGUGUAUAUCCACACCGGGCAAGCUUGAAAAAUAUGCCUGACCACGGUGGGAAUCGAACCUACAACCUUUGGAAUACUAGCCUGGCAAUACUCUGCCAACUGAGCUAAGUGGUCAGAUCAGUUCGAAUAUGUGAUAUUUCGGAACAGAAUCUAGUUCCUUCGAUAUCAAAUAAUGUAAUCGAAGGAACUAGAAAAAUCAUUACUGAUUAUUAGAUUACAUUGAUAUUGGAGGAAUUAGAUUCUGUUCCGAAAUAUCACAUACUGUAUUUGAAUCAAUCUGUCCGCGUAGGUCAGUUGGCAGAGCAUUGGGCUAGUAUUCCAAAGGUCAUAGGUUCGAUUCCCACCAUGGUCAGGCAUAUUUUUUAAUUACGCUUGCCCGGUGUGGAUAUAUACUCAGCGUAACAUCACAAGCAUCAUAUUCCUGAGUACAUGACACCAACACAGAAAAAUCAUUACUGGCUACAGUAUAUCAUUCUACAGGUCCUUAAACAGACGUUGCCAGGCUAUAUUUACAGGCUUACAGCACUCUUACGUACUAAACCAAAACUAUAAAAUUUAUUGUUAAUGAAGGAUUUCAGCGAGCUCAAAAAUAGUCUGGCAUUAGACAGAGUACAAUAAUCUGGCAUUUAAAAGACAGUAAAAUAAGGAAGUAGGACACACAAGGGUACAAUACAACUUAAUGGGUUCACUAGACACAUGGCCAUAUUAACCCAACAAAAAUCUGGCAUUUAAAAGACAGUAAAAUAAGGAAGUAGGACACACAAGGGUACAAUACAACUUAAUGGGUUCACUAGACACAUGGCCAUAUUAACCCAACAAAACAGGAAUACCCUGUACUUCUCAAGAAGUUUGGCAGGUCAUUAAGAUGGGGAGUUCACUGGAUAUUAUACUAGGCCGGACAUGGCAUAAGCUGCAUUGUGCCACAACUUUAUUCUUUUACUGUGUCUGAUGGGUCGUUCCAGAAAAGAUCCACUCUCCCCUGGGCACAGAGGAAAUUUCAACCGUCCGGAGGGGAGGCGAGGGGAAAAAAAUUGUUUCUGAAGUGUAUAAGGACAUUCGAAUGUUGAAGGGGAUAGGGGGUUAACUUCCAAUUUCCUUCAUGGGGGAGGUUAGGUAUCGAUGUUCUCUGGAAUGACCCAACCUAAUUUCUCUUGUUAACCCAUUCACUGGCAAUAUGCUCUACUUUAUAUUACUCUGUCUAAUGGCAGGAAAUUUUACAGUUUUACUUGUUGAGAAGAUAGCCUUGCAGCAGUUUCCAAUUUGCCACCCAGAGAAUACAUUACUGGGGACGAGUCAGGGUAAAAGCCAUAUGAACCAAGGGUUAUCAAUUAUGAUAAUACUAGAAACAACGUCAACCAAAGGUUGGGUUGUGCUACUAACUACAUUUAUUUAGGUCUUCCGUCUUCCCAUUCGUAAUAAGGUGCAAAGUUUAUAGGUUGGAUAGGAGGAAAUUGCUCAUAUUGCUGCAUGUGAACUGUGAACUUGUGCUAUAUACUGUAAUGUUAACUGACUGUGGAGUUCCAGUACCGGUACAUGAAAUACAGUAUGUACAGCUAAUGAUAGUCUUGUAUUUCCUUUCUUGUAGCUCAUGUGACUAAACGUUUUGCGGGAGCAACAGCCUCAUCAGUGAAAGCUGCCAUGGCCCAAAAGUGCAAAGACAAAAGAAAUGCUGAUACGAAAAGAAGAAAAAUUGCAAAAGACAUUUGAACUGCUAAGUUUUUUCCUUUAUUAUAAAUUAUUUUGUAUGUUAGCUAAACAUUUGUAGAUAUUAACUGUAUAAAUAAAUUAUUUAAACUUCCUACAGUAUAUAUACCAUCACUGCAGUAUCUCACUGUUUGACAGGUUUAACUGUGCAUGAUUGAAGCUUUGCAUAAUUUCACAUGUGAAACUGGAACAUGUGAUAUUUCACAUGUGUAUUUGGAAGAUGUGAUAUCUCGCAUGUGAAGUUUCACAUGUCAACACAUGUGAAAUUAUGUGUUUCACAUGUGAAGUUUCUCAUGUGAAUUUGGAACAUGUGAAUUUGGAACAUGUGACUUUUCACAUGUGAACACAUGUGAAAUUAUGUGUUUCACAUGUGAAGUUUCACAUGU
This 5294-nucleotide long non-coding RNA is filed under the name Paramuricea clavata. The stretch from base 3484 to 3556 matches the Rfam family "tRNA". The record is from RNAcentral. Lineage: Eukaryota; Metazoa; Cnidaria; Anthozoa; Malacalcyonacea; Plexauridae.